GACGAACGCUGGCGGCGUGCUUAACACAUGCAAGUCGAACGGAAAGGCCCUGCUUUUGUGGGGUGCUCGAGUGGCGAACGGGUGAGUAACACGUGAGUAACCUGCCCUUGACUUUGGGAUAACUUCAGGAAACUGGGGCUAAUACCGGAUAGGAGCUCCUGCUGCAUGGUGGGGGUUGGAAAGUUUCGGCGGUUGGGGAUGGACUCGCGGCUUAUCAGCUUGUUGGUGGGGUAGUGGCUUACCAAGGCUUUGACGGGUAGCCGGCCUGAGAGGGUGACCGGCAACAUUGGGACUGAGAGACGGCCCAGACUCCUACGGGAGGCAGCAGUGGGGAAUAUUGCCCAAUGGGCGGAAGCCUGAUGCAGCAACGCCGGGUGCGGGAUGACGGCCUUCGGGUUGUAAACCGCUUUCGCCUGUGACGAAGCGUGAGUGACGGUAAUGGGUAAAGAAGCACCGGCUAACUACGUG
Molecule: ribosomal RNA, 468 nt
Filed under: uncultured bacterium
Lineage: Bacteria
Description: partial 16S ribosomal RNA
Rfam family: Bacterial small subunit ribosomal RNA
Source: RNAcentral